AUUGAACGCUGGCGGCAGGCCUAACACAUGCAAGUCGAACGGUAACAGGAAACAGCUUGCUGUUUCGCUGACGAGUGGCGGACGGGUGAGUAAUGUCUGGGAAACUGCCUGAUGGAGGGGGAUAACUACUGGAAACGGUAGCUAAUACCGCAUAACGUCGCAAGACCAAAGAGGGGGACCUUCGGGCCUCUUGCCAUCGGAUGUGCCCAGAUGGGAUUAGCUAGUAGGUGGGGUAACGGCUCACCUAGGCGACGAUCCCUAGCUGGUCUGAGAGGAUGACCAGCCACACUGGAACUGAGACACGGUCCAGACUCCUACGGGAGGCAGCAGUGGGGAAUAUUGCACAAUGGGCGCAAGCCUGAUGCAGCCAUGCCGCGUGUAUGAAGAAGGCCUUCGGGUUGUAAAGUACUUUCAGCGGGGAGGAAGGGAGUAAAGUUAAUACCUUUGCCCAUUGACGUUACCCGCAGAAGAAGCACCGGCUAACUCCGUG
This 490-nucleotide ribosomal RNA is filed under the name uncultured bacterium. RNAcentral describes it as "partial 16S ribosomal RNA". It matches the Rfam family "Bacterial small subunit ribosomal RNA", at positions 30 to 507 of the family's 1533-position model. The record is from RNAcentral.